RNAcentral lists this ribosomal RNA (254 nucleotides) under uncultured bacterium. RNAcentral's name for it is "partial 16S ribosomal RNA". It matches the Rfam family "Bacterial small subunit ribosomal RNA", at positions 524 to 776 of the family's 1533-position model. The record is from RNAcentral.
UACGGGGGGAGCAAGCGUUGUUCGGAUUUACUGGGCGUAAAGGGCGCGUAGGCGGUCAGCACAAGUCAGUUGUGAAAUCUCCGGGCUUAACCCGGAAAGGUCAACUGAUACUGUGCGACUAGAGUGCGGAAGGGGCAACUGGAAUUCUCGGUGUAGCGGUGAAAUGCGUAGAUAUCGAGAGGAACACCUGCGGCGAAGGCGGGUUGCUGGACCGACACUGACGCUGAUGCGCGAAAGCCAGGGGAGCAAACGGG